Long non-coding RNA from Oncorhynchus tshawytscha (Chinook salmon), 808 nucleotides. The record is from Ensembl. Lineage: Eukaryota; Metazoa; Chordata; Actinopteri; Salmoniformes; Salmonidae.
UGCAAGGAAGCAAAAGGAGCUGAGAAGCUGUUCGGAGACCUCGGCUGUUUCUGUUGGAAUAAUGUGGAAUCUAAUGUCGUACGACAAGCCGGUUUUAUCUGGCCUGCUUUAAAACAAGACGCUCGGAGCCAUACAGAAGAAAAAAUGCAAAUCUGUGCUAAUUGCUAAAGAGAAAAGGAGACGAGGGCCAGUUAAUCAAGAAAGCUGCUUAAAGCAAUGCCAAAAUAACUCCACACCUCCUGACCUGAACAAACUGAGCACGCCACUGUGCAUGUGGCUUUCCACAGAAACUCAGCUGGGCUUUAAGGAUUGCUCUUAAGCCUGACAUGUUUGGCAGCUAUACAGCUUAAAUGUGACAACACUCCUUUUAGAGAUCUGCUUCCAUUCAUAUACGGAGGGUGGUGCGGACGGACCAGUACAUCACUGGGGCCGAGCUCCCAAACAUCGAAGACAUCUAUGCCAGGCGGUGUCUGAGGAAGGCCCCAAAAAUUGGAGAAGGGAAGUCCCACAGGGAGACAUUUCUGAGUUGUCUGAAGAACGCUGCACAUCUCUGGCCGGUGGUGGCUGGUCCUCUUCAAGAAGCUGAUGUAAGUGAGGUCCCUCCGCCCCCCAUGGACAUUGAGGGGGCGCUGGCGUAUGCAGUUCGGUCCAUACUGGACUCGAGGCGUCGGGUGAGGGGCCUUCAGUACCUCGUGGAUUGGGAGGGGUACGGUCCGGAGGAGAGAUGCUGGGUGUCAGUAGAGGACAUAUUGAACCCAUCUAUGGUGAAAGAGUUUCACCGCCUCCAUCCAGAUCGCCCUGCGCCUCG